AUCCCCGGCCCUUCUGCGCCCACACCUGAGUUUUUGUCUAAUCGACAUCUAGAGGAGUAUUCACCACUUAAUUGAUGAUCAAUACACGUUCGUUGAAAGAACCGAUAGCAUGCGAUCGAUACAGAGCAUCUGCACUGGGAGUGUCCGCCCCGCCUGGCAGGGAGGCCUCGGGGGCUAAUGGAGCUGAGGGUAUAGUCGGCCUUGGACCCUCGCUUUUUUCCUUUCCUGUACCAUGAAGAUAACUGCCUUAUCUCCCCCUCAGGACUGUUUUGGGGAUUAAAUAGGACGUUUAAAUUACCAACGCUCUUUGAAAUAAACAUUUCAAAAUUAU
RNAcentral lists this long non-coding RNA (331 nucleotides) under Pan troglodytes (chimpanzee). Its description in RNAcentral is "long non-coding RNA NONPTRT016913". Lineage: Eukaryota; Metazoa; Chordata; Mammalia; Primates; Hominidae. The record is from RNAcentral.